RNAcentral lists this non-coding RNA (24 nucleotides) under Arabidopsis thaliana (thale cress). The record is from RNAcentral. Lineage: Eukaryota; Viridiplantae; Streptophyta; Magnoliopsida; Brassicales; Brassicaceae.
CACCAACGUCACCACCACCACCUC